Gasterosteus aculeatus aculeatus (three-spined stickleback) is the source of this 2322-nucleotide long non-coding RNA. Lineage: Eukaryota; Metazoa; Chordata; Actinopteri; Perciformes; Gasterosteidae. The record is from Ensembl.
CAACAAUGUCCCUCCAGCUGCAUGUCACAGCAGUGUGACCGUUGCAAUGAUGCAAGCCAGUAAUUCUUUCCUGUAACAUUUUCCUCCCCCGCGUCUUCUCUCCUUCCUCUGACGUAGUUGCGCAUGAGGAUCGUGUCACCAGAAAUUAUGCAAAUCCUAAUUUCUACUUUUCAAAAUCUGCGUGAGUGACACGUCUUUACUCGUUACGGCAAAUUCCUCAAGUAGGGUUGGGUUUUCCGAUUGCACCAUGUUUUCACACAAUCAGUCGUUUUUAACUUUUUUUAUUUCUCAGGGGAUUUUUGUUCACGCCGGUUCUCGCUUGGUAAAGUAUUCCCAUUCUCUUAGCGCUGAUCCCAACCUAAUCGCUUUUUGAAUGUAUUCUCCCUCCUCAUGCUGGGUAGUUUUUUCCCAACGACAAACAGAAAGUAGACAUUUGUGACAACAGAAUACAUUAUUCUGUGAUCAGAUUACGCGGCGUUCCCCAUACAAACCUUUGGGGUGAAUCCAAACGACCCUACAGGUGUCCACUGAGGACAAAAUACACAUCUAAAUCUUAUAUUUACAUUUAUUGUGAUGGCACGAAUAUCAGAUCUACACAUCCUGGGUAAACAUUUUAUCAAUCCCCAAAAAUCACGUAAAAUAUUCCACCCUGACUCCUCCCAUCAGAUUGAUGUGUGAAGAACUUAUUAAGUAAAGUGCUCUGAUUAUCGGUUGUAUAAGAUGUAUCAAGGUAUUCAUUCAGUAAUGGCAAAAAUUAAAACUAAAGAUUCUGUACUGAGGCAAAGAUGGUUUGUUGGAGAGAAGAAAUGCGACUCCAUAACUGGAAAUAGACUGUGUGGGUUGUAGUUCAACAAAACAAAAUGGUUUGUCUGUAGGGAAUCUAAUAUGAUUGCACAAGGUUCAUAUCGACCUUUCCAUGAGAAUAUUUCAAAACGAUCCUUUUAAUAGUUCUGCAUCAGGACUUAAAGCGUUUGGAGCGGGUUGCUUGGUAAGCGGGUCGUAAAGUAAUUAAGCUUCAAUUGUUAUUUCAAUGUGCCAGAUUUAUUUAACAUUUAAUAACAUGUCAUAUUAAUACCGAUUUAUGUGUGAUUUGUAAAGUGUUUUCUUCCAUUUGAGUUUUAGUUCAUUAUUACUCUCAACUGAAAAAAGGAUUCUGAUUUUAUUUGUUGAUUUGAUACUGACUUCUUAUUCAAUGAAAUGUUAUAAAACUCCCCCAAAAAAUAGAGCAAUAAAAGGGAACACCAAGAAGAAAAAGCUGGAGAAGAGAAUGUAAAAGUGGGUAAAAGACGUGUCACUGCACGAUUUAAUUAAAAUGAAUGUAGUCCAAGUCUGGUGUCCUCCAGGGAGGCAAUGGGAGGAUGCAAGCUUCCUUGGAAAAGGAUAAAUAUUUUGCUGGAUCCAAAUGGAGACAUUUUGUGUUAUUUUUUUUGUCUAAGGAAAAAAGAAACCACCAAUUUAGCCGCCUACAAGACUCCUUGUUAAAUUUCAACUAAUCACACUACAUCCUCAGUGUCUCUCUCUCUGGUUCAGCUCCUUUCAAAUCAGGCAUGAUUCAUGAGGGAAGGAGAGGAACGGAGGGGAGGGGGUGUACGGAAUUGGGAUGCAUCCAGUAUCAAUAAGCUGUUUUGUUUAUGUUGCAUUCAAAGUAACGCAAAUAAUCUUCCUUUUUUUGGUUUCGUAGUAACUUCCGCUUCAUUGUUUUCUUGAAACGGUUGCAGCUCCAGGCUCGUUUCCCACAAUCUCUUUUUCAAAGUCACACUUGGGUUUGGGCUCCAGACCAAUACCUGCCCCUGCAUUAGUGGUUGAAACAGAGAAUACAAAACCGAUUCUCUACCUUCAUUGUGAUUUAUUUUCAGCGUUCCAGUUUCAAGUGACCAUCAGUCUUGAAGCAGUCCUCUAAAAUCCCCCCCUGCCCCCCCUCCUCCUCCCAACCCACUCACCCACCCACCUUCUAACCCACACACCAGAAAACAGUGUGUGAAGGAAAAAUGUAUCCUUUCACUCAAAUUCCUCCAGGAAUUAAUGCUGUAAAGCUAUACUCAAAUAUUUUAUGUCUUGUCACUAUGUAUAUCUGAUGUCUUAACAGCAUUUCCUUUGUGACAAUAAAGCAACCCAUGUGUCGCUAACACCAUCCUUUUUUAUCCAUCUUGCUAUUUUAUUUUUUAAAGAGAUGUUAAAAAGUAUGAUAGAGACUUGUUUUUUUGGAUUUGUGUGCAGUCUGUCUCUGGCUCCUUAUGUAUGCAUCAUUCUGCGCUUGUUUCUUAUGAUUGCGAAAAUGAAUCAUCAAGCAACCAAUUAAAAUAUUUCAUUUUUACAGACCUC